GGGGUCCUGCGCAAUAGGGUGCCGUGAACCUUGUCAGGUCCGAGAGGAAGCAGCAAUAAGCGGUUAACUCUAUGUGUUGCAGAUAAGC
This 88-nucleotide signal recognition particle RNA is filed under the name pig gut metagenome. RNAcentral's name for it is "Bacterial small signal recognition particle RNA". It matches the Rfam family "Bacterial small signal recognition particle RNA". From Rfam's summary of the family: The signal recognition particle (SRP) is a universally conserved ribonucleoprotein involved in the co-translational targeting of proteins to membranes. Archaeal SRP consists of a 7S RNA and homologues of the eukaryotic SRP19 and SRP54 proteins. The record is from RNAcentral.